Molecule: RNA transcript, 5822 nt
Organism: Zeugodacus cucurbitae (melon fly)
Lineage: Eukaryota; Metazoa; Arthropoda; Insecta; Diptera; Tephritidae
Gene: Mvl
Gene name: protein Malvolio
Exons: 13
Source: RefSeq, a predicted model, not a curated record
UUAAUUUCAAUGAAGUGAAGUGAAAAACAAUAAGAUCGCGAUAUAUUCGUUUGUAAAGUGGAAACAUAUGAAUUUUAAUUUUUGUUGAAGAAAGAAAGAAUACUGUGAAAAUAUAAUUAAAAAAUUCUAUAGGCAUAAAGUAGAGCAGAUUUGCUGAAAAAUCGCACACAAAAGAAAAUGAAGAGCCAUAAAACUAUGGCUUCAAAUGGAUCAUUUACAAAAAACACCGAUCAAAUUGUUGAACCUGCUGGCAGUUCUUCAACGACAUCGCCGCGCACUAGCACAUCUCGAGCGCCACAACAACAUCAACCGUUUGUCAUACCCAAUGAGGGCACAUAUCUGAAACCAGCUGCGAAACAAGCAUAUUUCAGUGAUGAAAAGGUGCUGAUACCACAGAAUGAUGAGACUGGUUUUAGUUUUCGCAAAUUAUGGGCAUUCACUGGUCCUGGUUUUCUCAUGUCCAUAGCAUACUUGGAUCCGGGCAACAUAGAAUCAGAUUUACAAAGUGGAGCCGCAGCAAAAUAUAAAAUUUUAUGGGUACUUUUAUGGGCUACGGUCUUGGGUUUGCUAAUGCAACGUCUGGCGGCGAGGUUGGGUGUUGUGACGGGUCUACAUUUGGCGGAGAUGUGCUACCGCCAAUACCGAAAGCUACCGCGCGUCAUACUCUGGAUAAUGAUCGAGAUAGCGAUUAUCGGCUCGGACAUGCAGGAAGUGAUUGGCACAGCCAUCGCCAUAUAUCUAUUGUCAAAUAAAAUCGUGCCGCUGUGGGGUGGAGUGCUGAUAACAAUUAUCGAUACGUUUACAUUUUUAUUUCUGGAUAAAUAUGGUUUGAGAAAACUAGAGUUCUUCUUUGGAUUUUUAAUCACUGUGAUGGCGGUGACUUUCGGCUAUGAGUACAUCGUCUCGGCGCCCAAUCAGGCUGAAGUGAUGGAGGGAAUGUUGGUGCCAUGGUGUAAGGAUUGCAAUGCAAAUGUACUACUGCAGGCUGUAGGCAUAGUUGGCGCUGUGAUAAUGCCUCACAAUUUGUAUCUACAUUCCGCUUUAGUCAAAUCACGUGAUAUCGAUCGUCGUCAACCGAAAAGAGUGAGUGAGGCUAAUUUCUAUUUCUUUAUCGAAGCGGCGGUGGCGCUCUUUGUGUCCUUCAUUAUAAAUCUAUUUGUCGUAGCCGUCUUCGCACACGGCAUGUUCGGUAAAACCAAUCAAGAUGUGCUGGAUGUUUGUGUCAAUCAAACAAUGUACGAUGACGCGAAAGCGUCCUUUACGGAUUCGCACAACAACACCGAUCUCAUCGAUGCCGAUAUCUACAAGGGCGGCCUAUUCUUGGGCUGCACAUUCGGUGCUGUGGCUAUGUACAUUUGGGGUGUUGGCAUUUUAGCCGCUGGUCAAAGUUCCACAAUGACUGGCACAUAUGCGGGACAAUUUUCAAUGGAAGGUUUUCUGAACUUACAAUGGCCACGUUGGCGUCGCGUGCUCUUCACGCGCUUGAUCGCUAUCAUACCCACAUUCUGUUUGGCAUUCUUUACACGCAUGGAGGACCUUACACAUUUGAAUGAUAUCUUGAAUGCAGUGAUGUCGUUGCAAUUGCCUUUUGCCGCCAUACCAACGAUAGCAUUCACCUCGUGUGUGGCUAUAAUGGGCGAAUUCGUGAAUGGCAUUACGAACAAGGUUAUUUCCAUAAUGUUAACCAUAGUAGUGAUAACGGUAAACAUAUAUUUCGUCGUGGUGCAAGUGCAGACGGCGUCUCUGGAGGGUGGUUUUUUAGCAUUAGUUUGUAUAGCAGCCAUUUUAUAUUUGCUCUUUAACUUGUACCUUGUGAUACACAUGAUUGCGUGCAUGGGCAAUCAAAGAUUUGUUAAUAAUCGGUGGGUCCAGAAGUUUGUGCUCCCCAGUCAGAAUAGUUUUACGAUAAAGAACGCCAAUUCAACGUACGCAAGUGAGCUGACGUUAUGCGACAAUAGCGUCUCGAUAUGUUCCAUCUCGUCGAAGACUCAUUAAGGUUCUGUCUCAUAUUAAUGUGUAAUGAAUACUGCCGUCGAUGCAACGUUGCAGCGCGCACAAUAAUUGAAGUGCUCAAAUGAAUUCGCUAUAAAUCCAAAAUAAACAUAUUUACGAUUUAUUUUUAUUUUUAGUAAAACUGCGAUGAAGCAGCAGUAGAGUGCGCAAGUUACUUAUUCAUGGCAUUAUGUAAUGAUAUGAAUUAGCCAAUAGCUAAUGUAUGUAUGUAAAUGUAAAUAAUAAAAUUUUAAUUGAAACGAUUUAGUUUAUAUUAUUUACUAGAAUUCUACAUUAUUGUAUUGUCAUAUAACAAACGCUUGCACUUAUUUAUUUAUUCAAACUUAUUAAAACUUAUUAAAGUAUAAUUAAAUAAUUAAAAAAUGCACAUUGUUGCAAAAAAAUGUCAACUAUUAUUGCGCUCUUGCCAGUAGACAUACAUAUUUAUGAGUUUUAAUAUGCUUUUUUUCUACUAUAAAAUGUACAUUCACCGACACCGUUGUUGUUACAAUGCUUUUGUUGUUGUUCAGCUGUAUAUUUACUACUUAGCAUUGUAUAAAACAAAAACUUUAUGCGCUGUAAUUAUAUAUUAUUUAUGAUUUAAUUAAAAAUAACAGCGAUUUUCGUAAGUAAAACGCCUCUCUGUAGUUAGUAAGCACCAUUUAUUUAUAGUAAUAGUAGUUACAUUUAGCAAAAAAAAAAAAAAAAUAAAUAAAUAAUGAUGAUAAUAAAUGUACAAAAAAUAAUCAUAUCGCACUAUAAAUUAAUUUCGUUAGCACAUAGUUGCUAGCCUUGACCCACUGUAUAUUUACAUGAACGCAUACACAAAUUAUUUCCCGAAUAUUUUAAGUACAAUUAUUAAUAAACAAUCGAAGCAGUUUUUUGCAUACUUUUGCAGUUGUUGUAGCCUGUGUUUUAUUCACCUAUUAUUUGCUGAAUUUUUCCUUACGCCAACGUACGCACACCUGUACUUACAUACUUAUUUCUACAUAGUAUACAAUAUGCAUAUGUAUAUACGCGUAUUUGUCUAUUCUAUUUUAUUUUUUACAGCUUAACAGUUUAAUUACUUAACAACAAUAACAAAUACAUAUCAAUUUACAGCAUUUUAUGAAUAAUUCAAAUCGUACAGCAUUUCCGCCUAGCAUUGUCAUUGACAUCUCCAUACAUACAUAUGUAUAUACACACUUAUAAACAUUUGCCUGCUUAUUGUAACUGUUGUUUGCAUUUUCCUCCUAUGUUUGUCUAUUUAAACUAUUUUACAGUGCAUUACACAAUACAGUACAUCAAAAUACUAAACACAUAUUUAUAGUAUAAAUUAAAAAAAAAAUAGAUUUUGUUUUUUGAAACGUAAGUAUCGCCAAAGCAACGAAAGCUGUUGCAAUUCUAUUUUAUACUCGCUCAAAUUCACUAGUUUAUUAAAUAUCAAUAGUUAUUCUGGUAGUAACAUUAACUAUUCUGCAAAUAAGUAUUUUUCAGUAGGCUUUACCGGAUGUACAUAAAUUCAUGUAUAUGUAGACUCUAAUACCGUGAGCAUUGUGUUGUUGUAGCAGUAGCGGCAGAUAACAUUAUUUAAAUUAUAUUUAGAAAUGCUGCUGAGUUUACUGUCCUGGGUCGGGUGGGCAAAUGACUUGCAAAACUGAUUAGAUUUAUUGAAAAAUUAUGAUAUUGUCAUUUAGUUUGAGAUUCGCAAUAAUAUCUUGGAAUUGUUAGAGGGUCACCAAUCUAACUGGAUAGAAAGCCAUUCGCAGUGUAUAGCCUAAUUAUCUGCCAGCAUCAAAUGAUACCAUGGUGCGAAUGCAAUAUCUUAGGUUGCAGGGUAAUUGAAAUCGCUGGCAUUCUGUACCUCUCUGUAUUCUCAAGCUAGUGGAGAGGUCAAGUUAGUUUUGUACGAUCAAUUUUGAGAUCAUAAAAUCGUAUACCUUUAUUUUUGGUACCGAAUAUCAUGUUAUCGAAAUCAAAUCUGGUUGCUUUUGAUUUUGGUCAUCCGUUGCAGUUCUUCAUCCCCAGGAAUUGCCGUAUUUUUGGACUGUAAAAAAUACUCACAGAAAAAUAACAACCGUCCGCUUAACUGCUUAAGGUGCUGUACUAGUGUAAACCAAGAAAAUUUAGGCGAUUUUCGUGAAUUUUUUUAAAGAAAGUACUCGAUCGAAUGUUUCGACACACAUUAUAGAUGACGCUAAGAUAUUUCUAUACCCUGCAUUAAGUACGUGCUAUAUGAAAAAAAGGAAGGAGGGAGUUGAACUCAUACUUUUUAGGAAUAAUUUGUCGUUCUGACAAGAUAAUAAUCUGCAAAGAUGUCGCAGUCGCCCUUAUUUACUUUUUAUAUAAAGAUGAGAACUGUCAGUUUGCUGUUUCAUUAUAAAUAUAACUUCUUCAAAGUACUUGACUGUUCUCGUAUUCCUUUGAAGAGGCUAUCGUUAUGGAUUGUUGCCAUGAAAAAUAUAUAAACCAACAGCUGUUCGGAGACAGUUUAAAUCCCCUUUAUUGGAUGGCAACUAGAUGUAAACUACACGUGGCAGAUAAACAUUGGAAAGUACCUAAAUUUUGUGGUGGUUUCAGAUCUCAGAUGAAUGCCGAAUAAGACCAUUACUUUAGUUUUCUAACGCAUCCAAUUCGGUUGUGUGCAUUGAACUUAAAAAACUCGUGAGGUACUCUACAAGAGAAAAUUAAUGUUACAGGGUUUCCCAAAUUAUAUUCUUUGGUUUCAAAUCCAAAUUUAUAUGUACAUUACGGGAACGAACUAAGUUUAAUAUCACAUGGUCCCCACAUUGCCCUUCCUCACACAAUUAAAGAAAUAUUGUAUGCUUAAGCUAAGUUGGUUUCGGAUUUUAUUUAUAUAUCCUCCCAGAACGGACAAUGGUUGAAAACUUUCCAUGCCAGAAUACAAAUGGUUCAAUGAAAUUUCGUUUGCUUUGGGAGAUCAGAAAUAAUGUGUUCAAGGGUGCCAGCCUUAUGCCAAAGGCGAAACACUUCAAAUUCUCUCUCUCUCUUGUAUUAUAAUAAGAACGAGUUGUACAAAUCACAGUUUUGAGAAAUUCUGCCGAAGUGUAUUUUCGAAUAUUAUUUUUUUCAACAAUAGCGCCAUAACCAAAGAUUAAACUAAUGAAAUCUUUAGAGGAUAAUGAAACCUCAGAUAAAAAGCACUAUUCAAAAUCGUUUGUUCUCCAAAGACUAAAAUGAACAUGAUGAUAAAAGAAAAUCUGAAUGAAAUAACGCUUAAGUUUUAACUUAAAACUCUAGCAACAUGUUGCAUCGAGUAGACUAGUUAAUUUAGAGCACAUUCUCAAAGUUAUCCAUUUCGAGCUUUUCUGUGUGCACAUGAAAGAGCUUUGCAAUUUGUAAAAGAAUGUUCGGAAAUGUAUUUUUAUAAAUACGAAGCAAGAUAUUGCAACGAACGCAUUGAAUACUCAAUUAGAGAUGUCGCUUGUGAUUGCAUUGCUGUCAGGUCUUGGCUGCAGGUCGAUUUAAUAUCAGUUAGGCUUGACUUUUUGAGUGAAGCUUUUUCAGUUCACUUGCACUUAUUGGACAUGCAGAAUUUCACCGAAUGGCGAUCAGGAAGCGGAUGUACCUUUCGGUGAAGAGGAGGACGCAUAGCCACUACUGUGCGGCGUUGACUCCGAUUGCAGUGAUGAUAGCGAUAACACUUUAUUCAUAAGCAAAAAUGGAGCGUACAGUCAUGGCUGUUCCAGCAUUAUCAGCUAGCAUAGGCGACAUUGUCAUUAUGAUGCUCUCUUUAACAUUAUUUUUGGAAAAAUUAACAACAACACCCAUAUACAACUACUAAUGCUAACGAUAUGCAUGCCAAAGUAACACUCAAAUACACACACACA